UUGAAUACUGGUUUCCGUGUCAAACGCUCUAAAGGCCGCGCCCAUGACGUUUGACCUGAGCAUAUGCUCGCAGGGUACAGCUGGAAACGGCUAUGCCUUCCAUUUUGAGAAGGGAACAAAAAAGUGCAGGA
RNAcentral lists this non-coding RNA (131 nucleotides) under Sporobacter termitidis. RNAcentral's name for it is "MoCo sequence". It matches the Rfam family "Molybdenum/Tungsten riboswitch aptamer (Moco RNA motif)". The record is from RNAcentral. Lineage: Bacteria; Bacillati; Bacillota; Clostridia; Eubacteriales; Oscillospiraceae. RNAcentral also lists the same sequence under 1 other name.